This 337-nucleotide long non-coding RNA is filed under the name Homo sapiens (human). Its description in RNAcentral is "HSALNT0052572". The record is from RNAcentral. Lineage: Eukaryota; Metazoa; Chordata; Mammalia; Primates; Hominidae.
CACUACCAAUUAUUGCUUAUUGAAACUGAAGAUUUCAAUGCUCCUCAUCAACUUUAUAAAUCUUGCCUCUACCAUCUCUGAAGAAAGCAACACAUGUGGAUAAUAGUGGGACUGUGAGACAGAAGACGGUGGAAUGAUAUUGGUUUCCCUGUAAGUUUCUCACCAUCCUGCAGCCUUCUGAGGAGGUCUCACCAUGAACCUGGCGAUGGAUGAGAAGAUAUUUCUUUCCCCCCAUACCAGCCCUCACCACCAACUGACUGCAAAAACUUGAGAGACCGAGUGAGAAUUGCCCAGCUCAGCCCAGUUAGCUCCUAGAACCAUGAGAGAUAAAAAUAAA